Long non-coding RNA from Fundulus heteroclitus (mummichog), 1190 nucleotides. RefSeq lists it as uncharacterized. Lineage: Eukaryota; Metazoa; Chordata; Actinopteri; Cyprinodontiformes; Fundulidae. The record is from RefSeq and is a predicted model, not a curated record. The transcript has 2 exons.
UGAAUCUUGCAAAACGUGAUUUUGCUAAAGCUACAGUUACCUAUUUAGGCAAAGUUGUUGGGCAAGGUAAAGUUCGUCCUAUCUCAGCAAAAGUUUCAGCAGUUUCGGAAUUCCCAGUGCCUACUACCAAAAAAGAACUUAUGAGGUUCUUGGGACUCGUAGGUUAUUACCGUUCAUUCUGCAGAAACUUCUCAAGUGUAGUCGCUCCUCUUACCGAUUUAUUGAAAGCAAAAGUUAAGUUUAUAUGGUCUCCGUUAUGCCAGAAAGCAUUGGAAGAUGUAAAGUCUCUUCUCUGUUCAGCUCCUGUACUGCUUGCACCUAGUUUCAAUCAGCCGUUCAAGCUGCAGGUUGAUGCCAGCCAUGUUGGGGCUGGAGCUGUUCUCUUACAGGCUGAUGAACAGGGGAUUGACCACCCCGUCAGUUUCUUUUCCAAGAAAUUUAAUUCGUACCAGCUUAACUAUUCAGUAAUCGAAAAGGAAGCGUUGGCUUUAAUAUUGGCUUUACAGCACUUCCAGGUGUAUAUAGACUCUGGAACAUGCCUGACCGUUUAUUCCGAUCACAACCCUCUAACAUUUCUAAACUCUCUCCAGAACCCGAAUCAGCGGCUCAUGCGUUGGGCCUUAUUCCUGCAGCCGUACCAUCUUGAUAUUAAACAUAUCAAGGGAACAGAAAACGUCAUGGCUGAUGCCCUGUCCCGUGCCCCUGUUUAAGACCUCUUCUCUCUCCUCUAGUCUCUCUCCUCUUAAUUUGCUCCCAGGCGCCGGGUUGCUGAGCAGACUGUGACUGGAGAAGGAGAUCACUGGGCCGGACUUCUCUUUCGUUCACUGACCCACCGUGCUAUGUUAUUCCGGGACAGCACGGUGGUGACCCCAUGUCCCGGGGCCAUCAUGGCCAUAAAGGAAGUGGGCGGCGGACCUGAGUACCACACCUGCAGUGGCCUCCUAUAAAUUGGCCCAGAGCACAUGGCUGGGUCUCUCUCUGGCUCUGCUCUCCAUGGACUCCUCUGGCCUCCUGCUCCAGCUUUUAGUUUAGUUUGAUCCAUGUACACUUUCACACACCUUAUACAUCUCAACAUUACAUACACCACUGACCUACACUAGCACGUUUAUUUACUUUAAUAAAUUGUUAAACCUUUCUUUUGUGUGGUCUCCCCAUCAUUGUUCCUACCCUCCUGAGCCAGGGUAGUAACA